Molecule: long non-coding RNA, 968 nt
Organism: Oncorhynchus masou masou (cherry salmon)
Lineage: Eukaryota; Metazoa; Chordata; Actinopteri; Salmoniformes; Salmonidae
Exons: 3
Source: RefSeq, a predicted model, not a curated record
UACUUCAGAGCUAUCGCCCUUAUGGAGUCACUCCCGUAUAACUUCGCAAAGACAACAAACUUGAAGGUCGGUCGCGGUAUUAUAUAAAUGAACUGAUUAUGGAAGACCACCAUUAGUUUGGGAAUUUUUCAACUGGACGGAUAUACAGCCAAUAAGGAUUAUACUACCUUAUUAUAACGCUUGCUCCUCUCUCUGCGAUAUAAUGGGCGACCUGUGCCAUGCAUGGACCUACAAACCUUCCUUAUCGAUUGCUAUUAUAUUGGUAUCAAUUUUAUGUAUGGUGCAUUGUUCAGAGAAUACUGGAGCCAUUGGAAAAGUGUUCCCACGAGGGAAUCACUGGGCAGUAGGUCACUUGAUGGGGAAGAAAAGCCUUGACAGUCUCUCUGGAUCAGAAGAUAGCAGCAACAGGGACAAUAUACCGUCUUCAGAGGAAGACAUGCUGUUGGAUAGAUAUGUGCAGCCGUCCAAGCCGGUGCAAGGCUUCAUCAGGACUCUCUGGGGACUGGAAAACAAGAGGCAGAACCAGACCCAGAGACAGGGACAGGAACAUGUUCUCUCUCGAAUGGGGGUACUCAAGACCACAAAGUGGAAAGAGACAGAUAGACACCGAUACCUCAAACAGCUGACAUACCUCAUUCGAUUGGCUUUCAACAUGAAGGAGAACACUAUCUUCAACUGAAGGCAGGCAGUCAGCUCUAGUCUGCAGCUGUCAUAUGAUGAACGGCACUACACGCCUCAGAGACUCAGUUCGAGUCGUUGCAUCCAGCGCACCUGUUCACAAUAUUUUGAAAACAAUAUAGCCUAUACUGGAGUUGACUUUAUAUGAUAUAUAAUAACAUAAUUAUCAUAAUAAUUACAUGACGUUAUCUACUAUUUAUUGUAUCCUACUCUAAAUACUACCCCCCCCCCCCCCCCCCAUCAACAACAAUGUGUAAAGAACAUUGAAUAAAUCUGAAAUUGUUGUGAUA